GCCAAGCCUAAGCCCCGCCAAACCCCCAAACAUGACAAACCAACUAACCAAACCAUUUGACUAGAAAAGUAUUUGAGAAAGAACUUAAAAGCAGGAGCAACAUUACCGCAAGGGACAACUGAAAGACUAAUGAAAUACUUAAGCACAACAAAGCAAAGACUAACCCUUGUACCUCUCGCAUCAUGAUUUAGCAAGAAACCCCAGACAAAGAGCCCUUAAGCCUGUCCACCCGAAACUGCGUGAGCUACUUCCGGGCAAUUAUAUGAAUCA
RNAcentral lists this ribosomal RNA (270 nucleotides) under Cordylus oelofseni (Oelofsens girdled lizard). Its description in RNAcentral is "partial 16S large subunit ribosomal RNA". The record is from RNAcentral. Lineage: Eukaryota; Metazoa; Chordata; Lepidosauria; Squamata; Cordylidae.